UACACAUUUAAUAUUCUUCAUUCCCUAAUAUUUAAUUUCAAUUGUUAUUACAAAUAUUUUACGAUUCGCGGAUUAUUGAAAAACAAAAUAUGUAUAUUUCAACAACCGAGUUAUAGUCUUCGGGAACUAGUUUUCCGAGCAUUUUUCUUUUUCUACGCAUUUUCGCCGUAUUCGAGUCGAGUUUAUCGUGUGCGUUUGCCCGGUAACGACGGGCGUUCAAGUCACUGUACGCGUAUAAUGUUUUAUGCGAAUUCACCGCCGCCGUGUAAACUGUAUGUGUAUAACCCGGGGAUUAAAGGCCAGUAUACCUGAUAUAAUAAUUAUUAUUAUACAAUACCCAUAUUUAUUAUAAUCGUAUCUAUAUCCAAACGAAUUUUAGUUUCUAUAAGUAUAACACAUAUUGCAGUUCGUUUUCGUAGUUUAAUAAAAUCACAGACGUGUAUUGUACUAUUAUACUAUAAUAUGUAUAUUAUUUCGAUAUGAUCAAACAGAAUUAAAAAUAAUCCGAUGAGAGGAGGAGGCCGAACAUCUGAAUGUUAAACGAGAACUAUAAACAACGGCAAUACCAAUAUUACCUGUGAGCAGUAUUUGUCUAGAGACUAAAUCAUUCAGUCUCUAUCGCAGUCAUCCGCUGUAAUCGUUAAUUUCCCCGAUAUCUUUCGUAUAACGCCCUUUUAAGCCUUUACCUAUCGAGAACCGUGUCUUAUUAUUUGAUUUGACGCAGAUAAAAGCGCCUUUCUCCUUAGACUUUAAUCCAAAUCCGAACGAGGUUUUUUAACACAAUAACGAGACAUAAUAUCCUUUUUUAUUUUUUCAAGAAAAUACACACAUGCACGUAUUAUAUACGGUUUGGAAAACUCGAGAGCUAAAAGUGAAAUUCUGCCGAGCUUAGCCCCCGAAUCCCGCGAGGUUAUAAUACAGUGUUGUGCGUACGAAAUAUAUACAUAAAAUAACGCCCAAGUGCGUGGAUCGAAAGUGUACUUAUGGUGGUGAUAUUGUGUAGGUAUACAUAGUGAUUGUCCGACCAAUACUUUUCAUAUAGUAUAGGUAUGAUAUAGAUAGUGAUAAGUUUGUAAAUACAAUUUGUUGUACAUUAUUAUCAAACUGCCGCUGCCAUCGGCAGCGCGCGGUCGAGAGUAUGUUCUAGUCAUUUCCCUCCGUAUAUCCUCAAACCGUAUUAUGUACAUUUUGUAUACAGGUUGUUUUUUUUCCAAUCGUUGUCCAGCGAUAUUGUUUUUGGUGUUUGAUUUUUUUUUUUUUUUUGUUAUUGUAUAAAUAUACCUAUAGAGUCGUUUAACGGUCAAUUUACAAUAUGUUUAAAACGUUUCCCUUAAUCCGAAUACGCGAUACACAAAUAUCGACUUUUGAUUUUCAAAUAGCAAACUCCCAUCCUAUUCAACGCGGAUUCGAAAAGAGAAUAGUUUUCUAAAAAUAUUAAUAAGCACAACACUUUAUUAUACAUGAUAUUGUAUUAACCGUUUAUGAGUUAUAAACUGUUAAAAAUUUAAACCUGAGAGUUAAGGCGAAAGGCUAUCGUAUAUACAGAUGGAUGAAAGAUGUUUAUCGUCCCUUCCUACUUUUUCGGUCUAAAUUUUAAACUGUUAUUAUAACUCAUAAACGGUUUAUUCGAUAGAACUGUUAUAGUCACAUAGCACAACAUUUAAAAUAGUUAAAUAUAAUAUUAUUUUUUCGAAUCUAUAAUGAAUAGAGUGGUGAGUUUGUUCUUUGAAAAUCAAAAUUUAAUACGCAUUUAAGAUACAAGGAGUAGGGGAUAAAAACUGAAGAUUAUGUUAAAGUCAUAAAACGUAUAAAAAAUUCAAUUAGGAUAAAAAAAAAAACACAAAUUAAAUUUACUUAAAACUUUUAUUAUUACCUACGAGGAAUCACUGAAUCAUAAUAUAAAAAAACACCCUGUACAUAUUUAAUAUACAUAAUAUGUAAAUAGGUACAUAUCGUAUACUUAACCCCAUGGGUGUAUGCAAGAGGGGGAGGGUUGGGUGGUCAAAUCUCCCUUAAAUUUUCACGUUUUGUUUUUACCAUACAAAUUAGUUAUAUAUUAUAAUUUUUAAUUUUAUUAACUGCUAUGUAUUACAUAACUUUUAAAAAUAUAUUAUAUUAUAAUAUUGACCCUCCUUUUCCUAGUCAAGAAAACUAUUUCCUAUCUAUACACCCAUGCUUUCCCCCACACAUAGUAAUAAAUAAUACUACUAUAAUUUGUACAUAUAUAUAUAUACACAUUAACAAUAAAUAUCGAUACAUUUUAAUAUUUGUAAUUAAUUAUAAUUAUUCCGUAUAAUCUAGUCGAAACACAUAGUUAUAACCUAGUCAAAAAUAAUUUUUUUAUUUAAAUGUAUAGUUUAAUAGGUACACCUAUCUAGUCUAUAAUCUAGUCUAUAUUAUUUUAGUCGUAAUCGAGUCUAGUCAUAUUACAUUCAGUAAAAUCUGACCGAAAUAAAGUCUAGUCAUUCAUAUAAGGUUUAGUCAGACCGUCUGUAUCUCAAUUGAUUAGAUGCAGGCUAAUCAGAUGAUAAAUUAAGGAGCGCCAACAUUGAUUAAACAUUCUAUUCUCUUUAUGGAUUUAUCAUUCCAUCUACUUAAAAUGGUAUUUACUCCGUUAGCAGACGAAAAAUCUUUCAAUCCUAUUGAUAUUCGUGAAAAAUCGCCAAUACUGCAGAUUUCUAUCCGAUUAACAUCAGAUUAAUUAUACGGAACAAGCGGUAAGCGAAAUUUUAUAUGAAGUUUCCAUAGUCAUUUUUUGAAUGCGUAAACAUAAGCCGUUAAUCGUUAUAUAUAUAUAAAUAUAGUUAAUAAUUCUAUAAUCUAGUCAAAAUAUAUUAUUGUAAUCUAGUCGAAAUAUACUAUUGUAAUCUAGUCGAAAUAUAUUAUUAUAAUCUAGUCAAUUAAAAAGUAAAACAAAAAAAAAAGCCUAUACAUAAGUAUACAUCUAUACCUAUAAUAAUAAUAUCUAGUCAAUAAAAUAUUAUAACAUAGUCGUAAUCGAAUCUAGUCUGACGUUCAGUCCAAUCUGACUGAAAUAAACGUCUAGUCAAACGUUAAAUUAUAGCGUAGUAUCAAGUUUAGGCGUAUAAUUGACAUUCUGUAAAAAAAAUAUAUUAUUAUAAUAUCGUAUAAUGUUCGAAUGAGUCCGCAUCAUCUAAUCUUAGGGGUAUUGGCUUUUGGCGGCCGCAAGUGUACACGCAUGUCGGUGACCGAGAUUUUGGUUACGGUUUACAAAAUACAAAUUAAAAUCGGUUUAAAUUAUAAUGUAAUGUGUACUCGUAUGUUAAUAUCAGUGUUGUAAAGUUCGUAUUUUUAAAAUAAAUAAAUUUAUAUCCUAUAUAGUUGAAAAUGUAAUAAUAUUGUACUUAUAAUUAUCUAUCAGGAGUUAUAAAAUUUUUUUUUUUUAGUCUUUGAUGGAGUAUAUUAAUAAUUGUAUUUAUUCUAUCGCAAGAUAUUAUUUAUGUAAUGCAAUUUGUAAUUAUUUUGUUUUUUUUUUUUUUUAAUUUAAACAUAUAUAAUCUAUGUAUCAUGUCCUAAUAUUUAAUAUAGUACGCAGUGAACAUUUUACUUUAUGCUAUAAUGUUUAUAGCCCCACAUAUUUAUUAUUAUUAUUUUUUUUUUUAAACAUAUCUAUAUUGUAUAGUUAUAGAUAUGAACAGAUUAAUCAAUUGCCUAUAUAACAAAUAUUAUUAUAUUUUAUGUUGUACCUUUUAUGCGAAUGUACAUCUUUUUAUUUUAUUGUCAAUAUUAUUUUAUUGUUAAGCAAAUAUUUUAUUUUUAUUUUUUUUUUUUCGUAUUUAUUUAUUUUACGUAACUAAUAUCAUUUUUAAUAUUUCAAACACAUCGAUAUUAAUUAUUAUACACACACAUAUAUAUUUAUUGUUAAUAUUUCGCACAAAUUAUAAAUUUAUAAAAGUAAAUUACAUUAUUAUAUUAUACGAGUUCUCGAAAUAUAAAAGAAAAACUCAAUUAUUACGCUAUUAUACAUUUUUUUCUAUCACAAACAUAUUAUAUUUGUAUAUUAUUAUCAUUCCUAUAUUAUACUAUAUUACAUAUUUUAUGGUUUUGUUUUGUUUUGGUUUUUUUUAAAAAAUCCAAAAUAGGUACUUCACACAACAGGUGGGGGUGGGUCUCUGUCGCGAGUUAAGAAUGUAAGACAAACCUACAUACUAUGAUAAUGAUCACAAUCAGUGGAGACGAAAAAUGGCUUUAGGGCAAAUUCGCUUCAACAUGUUUUGACGAAUUUAC
This 4248-nucleotide long non-coding RNA is filed under the name Cinara cedri. Lineage: Eukaryota; Metazoa; Arthropoda; Insecta; Hemiptera; Aphididae. The record is from RNAcentral.